Molecule: ribosomal RNA, 495 nt
Filed under: uncultured Staphylococcus sp.
Lineage: Bacteria; Bacillati; Bacillota; Bacilli; Caryophanales; Staphylococcaceae
Description: bacterial SSU rRNA
Rfam family: Bacterial small subunit ribosomal RNA
Source: RNAcentral
AGAGUUUGAUCCUGGCUCAGGAUGAACGCUGGCGGCGUGCCUAAUACAUGCAAGUCGAGCGAACAGAUAAGGAGCUUGCUCCUUUGACGUUAGCGGCGGACGGGUGAGUAACACGUGGGUAACUACCUAUAAGACUGGGAUAACUUCGGGAAACCGGAGCUAAUACCGGAUAACAUUUGGAACCGCAUGGUUCUAAAGUGAAAGAUGGUUUUGCUAUCACUUAUAGAUGGACCCGCGCCGUAUUAGCUAGUUGGUAAGGUAACGGCUUACCAAGGCAACGAUACGUAGCCGACCUGAGAGGGUGAUCGGCCACACUGGAACUGAGACACGGUCCAGACUCCUACGGGAGGCAGCAGUGGGGGAAUAUUGGGCAAUGGGCGCAAGCCUGACCCAGCAACGCCGCGUGAAGGAAGAAGGCCCUCGGGUUGUAAACUUCUUUUAACAGGGACGAAGAAAGUGACGGUACCUGUUGAAUAAGCCACGGCUAACUACGUG